GACGAACGCUGGCGGCGUGCUUAACACAUGCAAGUCGAACGGUGAAGGGAUCAGCUUGCUGGUUCUGGAUGAGUGGCGAACGGGUGAGUAACACGUGAGUAACCUGCCCCCUUCUUCUGGAUAACCGCAUGAAAGUGUGGCUAAUACGGGAUAUUCUUGUUCUGUCGCAUGAUGGGUCUGGGAAAGAUAUUUUUUCGGUGGGGGAUGGGCUCGCGGCCUUUCAGCUUGUUGGUGGGGUGAUGGCCUAUCAAGGCGGGGACGGGUAGCCGGCCUGAGAGGGUGGACGGUCACACUGGGACUGAGACACGGACCAGACUGCUACGGGAGGCAGCAGUGGGGAAUAUUGCACAAGGGGCGCAAGCCUGAUGCAGCGACGCCGCGUGAGGGAUGGAGGCCUUCGGGAUGUAAACCUCUUUCGCAAGUGAAGCAGGCCUGCUCCUUGUGGGUGGGUUGACGGUAGCUGGAUAAGAAGCGCCGGCUAACUACGUG
RNAcentral lists this ribosomal RNA (489 nucleotides) under uncultured bacterium. RNAcentral describes it as "partial 16S ribosomal RNA". It matches the Rfam family "Bacterial small subunit ribosomal RNA", at positions 28 to 507 of the family's 1533-position model. The record is from RNAcentral.